GCUGUUUUGCUUUCUCUUAUUUGGAAGAAGGGACAAAUAAUAAUUGAGUACAGAUAUGCACCGAUCAAAGAAUAUGUAUUUUACUAGGAAAUAUGUUACAUGUAUCAAUUAAAAGUGUCAUGUUGACCUGAAAUGUUAAUUCGGCCGGCACAAUCCGGCAUUUUCACACGAUAAAUACAAUAUUAAAUAAUUUCCUUGUAUCUCUUGUAUACAACCCAUAAUAAUUGAUUUAUAUUUCAUGUUUUAAGUGUUUUGACUUUGAAAUUUCUAUAAACGUAUGCCGUAUA
RNAcentral lists this long non-coding RNA (287 nucleotides) under Mytilus galloprovincialis (Mediterranean mussel). The record is from RNAcentral. Lineage: Eukaryota; Metazoa; Mollusca; Bivalvia; Mytilida; Mytilidae.